UGGGGAAUAUUGGGCAAUGGGGGCAACCCUGACCCAGCAACGCCGCGUGAAGGAAGAAGGCUUUCGGGUUGUAAACUUCUUUGACGAGGGACGAAGGAAGACGGUACCUCGAAAACAAGCCACGGCUAACUACGUGCCAGCAGCCGCGGUAAUACGUAGGUGGCAAGCGUUGUCCGGAUUUACUGGGUGUAAAGGGCGCGUAGGCGGGAUAGCAAGUCAGAUGUGAAAUGUAUGGGCUUAACCCAUGAACUGCAUUUGAAACUGUAAUUCUUGAGUAGCGGAGAGGCAGGCGGAAUUCCUAGUGUAGCGGUGAAAUGCGUAGAUAUUAGGAGGAACACCAGUGGCGAAGGCGGCCUGCUGGACGAAGACUGACGCUGAGGCGCGAAAGCGUGGGGAGCAAACAGG
RNAcentral lists this ribosomal RNA (405 nucleotides) under uncultured prokaryote. Its description in RNAcentral is "bacterial SSU rRNA". It matches the Rfam family "Bacterial small subunit ribosomal RNA", at positions 355 to 776 of the family's 1533-position model. The record is from RNAcentral. RNAcentral also lists the same sequence under 1 other name.